GCCUGGCUAGCUCAAUUGGUAGAGCGUGAGACCCUUAAUCUCAAGGCUGUGGGUUCGAUCCCCACGUUGGGCG
This is a non-coding RNA of Glomus cerebriforme, 73 nucleotides long. The record is from the annotation of a GenBank genome assembly. NCBI's taxonomy places the organism in Eukaryota, Fungi, Glomeromycota, Glomeromycetes, Glomerales, Glomeraceae.